This 293-nucleotide small nuclear RNA is filed under the name Neotoma lepida (desert woodrat). RNAcentral describes it as "7SK RNA". It matches the Rfam family "7SK RNA". From Rfam's summary of the family: 7SK was discovered as an abundant small nuclear RNA in the mid-70s but a possible function has only recently been suggested. Two independent studies have found that 7SK RNA binds the CDK9/cyclin T complex (known as elongation factor P-TEFb). The record is from Rfam by way of RNAcentral. Lineage: Eukaryota; Metazoa; Chordata; Mammalia; Rodentia; Cricetidae.
GAUGUGAGGGGAUCUAGCUGUGACAUCAAUCACCAGGAUUGAUUUUGCUUAUCUGGUUGGCUGAUUCCGUGGGUUCACUUUCUGCCUCACAGCUGCAUCCCCAUCCUUCCUCAAGCUGCACAUUCAGUGGAAGAGGAGCACCUUCCUUCCAUUAUAGAGGAGGGCUUGUCUUCAUUCAAAUGUGUAGGUGUAGCUGCAUUUCCUUCCUAGAACUGCUAAACAGGCAAAUACCUUGAUAAAAAUGUGAGUGCCCCAUUAGGGAAAAUGUUACAAUAGGUAAUGAAUUUGUAUGU